GCCUGGGAUUGUGGGAGCAUGAACUAAUGAGAAAGGAAAAGUAUGGCUGUUUGACGAGGGCAAGGGCUGUGAUGUAUGAACACAAUAUGAAUCUAUAAUGGAGAAAAUUUGACUGGGUGCAAGACUUCCUCCAGGAGCAUUCAACACAACAAGAGCAUCUUUGCAGGUUGCGUGUUGAUUUAGUAUGUUGGGGGUGCGAUCUCCUCGAGGUGCAUGUUUGGAGCGGGGCUGCAGCGUUCAAGCCAGAGGAGAGAGUAGUGUUAUUUGUGGAGAUGGCCAGUGAGGGACAAGAGAUGGAAGUGAUGGAUAGGAGUUGUGAAUCAAUAUCAGCUGACAGCUUCUUGAAGUCAAUAGAAUUAAGGUUCCUCCUUAGUUGAGCUGGGUUAGGCUAAGGUUGUUGCGUGAGGGGGUACUAGAGAGAGCAAACG
Non-coding RNA from Pelobates cultripes (western spadefoot toad), 428 nucleotides. The record is from the annotation of a GenBank genome assembly. Lineage: Eukaryota; Metazoa; Chordata; Amphibia; Anura; Pelobatidae.